GGGGGUGUAGCUCAGCUGGGAGAGCACCUGCUUUGCACGCAGGGGGUCAGGAGUUCGAAUCUCCUCAUCUCCACCA
This 76-nucleotide transfer RNA is filed under the name Fervidicola ferrireducens. Its description in RNAcentral is "tRNA-Ala". It matches the Rfam family "tRNA". From Rfam's summary of the family: Transfer RNA (tRNA) molecules are approximately 80 nucleotides in length. Their secondary structure includes four short double-helical elements and three loops (D, anti-codon, and T loops). Further hydrogen bonds mediate the characteristic L-shaped molecular structure. tRNAs have two regions of fundamental functional importance: the anti-codon, which is responsible for specific mRNA codon recognition, and the 3' end, to which the tRNAs corresponding amino acid is attached (by aminoacyl-tRNA synthetases). tRNAs cope with the degeneracy of the genetic code in two manners: having more than one tRNA (with a specific anti-codon) for a particular amino acid; and 'wobble' base-pairing, i.e. permitting non-standard base-pairing at the 3rd anti-codon position. Lineage: Bacteria; Bacillati; Bacillota; Clostridia; Thermosediminibacterales; Thermosediminibacteraceae. The record is from RNAcentral.